Molecule: ribosomal RNA, 374 nt
Filed under: uncultured fungus
Lineage: Eukaryota; Fungi
Description: bacterial SSU rRNA
Rfam family: Eukaryotic small subunit ribosomal RNA
Source: RNAcentral
GGUCGGUACCGAGGGAUCCUCUAGAGAUUGUAGUCAUAUGCUUGUAUCAAAGAUUAACCCAUGCAUGUCUAAGUAUAAGCAAUCUAUACAAAGAAAAUGGAUCCGGCUCAUUAAAUCAGUCAUGGGUUAUUUGAUAGUACCUUGAUUCUCCGAGAACCGUCGUAGGAGCAUUGGUAAUACAUGUAAAAAAUCCGACCCUACCAGAGGGAGGGUUUAUUAGCAAGUAAACCAAUGCGAUUGGGCUCAGGUAUGCUUCUAGAAAAGGAUUAUAAAAGCAUGGCCGUGUGCCGGAGAUGGCCCAUUCAAAUUUCUGCCCUAUCAACUUUCGAAGGUAGACUAGUGGCCUACCAUGGUUUCAACGGGCAACGGGGAAU